Molecule: unclassified non-coding RNA, 324 nt
Filed under: soil metagenome
Description: partial contains 5.8S ribosomal RNA, internal transcribed spacer 2, and large subunit ribosomal RNA
Rfam family: 5.8S ribosomal RNA (bases 1-120)
Source: RNAcentral
GAUGAAGAACGUAGCGAAAUGCGAUAAUUAAUGUGAAUUGCAGAAUUUAGUGAAUCAUCGAAUCUUUGAACGCACAUUGCGCCCUGUGGUAUUCCGCAGGGCAUGCCUGUUCGAGCGUCAUUUCAACCCUCAAGCCUCGCUUGGUGUUGGGCCCUGCCCGCCGCGGCCGGCCCUAAAGAUAGUGGCGGCGCCGCCUGGCCCUCAGCGUAGUACAGCUCUCGCUCCAGGGUCCGGCGGCAGCCUGCCAGAACCCCCCAACUCUGUGGUUGACCUCGGAUCAGGUAGGGAUACCCGCUGAACUUAAGCAUAUCAAUAAGCGGAGGA